UCUUCAGUGCAUGAUCUCUGGUUGCAGAGAUAGCCAGAAGGAUGAACACCUUCCUGGGAUCCAGGGAUAUUUCACACAUGGGGAAAAAAAUAGAGCCCAGUUCUGCCUCCUUUGUCGCUAUCUCUGAAGCAUUGGUCAUAUAUGUUUCUGCACCUUAGCUCAGUGAGAUGGGAACUAACAGCCAUUCGGGGAAGAAUCUCGAGGCCCUUUACGCUCAUUCAAGCAAAGCUCCCACUAACAUUGAUGGAAAUGGUAAGGCCCCCUAGGAUUCAGCCCAGAGUCAAGUACAGGU
Long non-coding RNA from Mauremys mutica (yellowpond turtle), 292 nucleotides. RefSeq lists it as uncharacterized. The record is from RefSeq and is a predicted model, not a curated record. The transcript has 3 exons. Lineage: Eukaryota; Metazoa; Chordata; Testudines; Geoemydidae.